GAUUAAGUUAUUAAGGGCGCACGGUGGAUGCCUUGGCACUAGAAGCCGAUGAAGGACGUUACUAACGACGAUAUGCUUUGGGGAGCUGUAAGUAAGCUUUGAUCCAGAGAUUUCCGAAUGGGGAAACCCAGCAUGAGUUAUGUCAUGUUAUCGAUAUGUGAAUACAUAGCAUAUCAGAAGGCACACCCGGAGAACUGAAACAUCUUAGUACCCGGAGGAAGAGAAAGAAAAUUCGAUUCCCUUAGUAGCGGCGAGCGAAACGGGAAGAGCCCAAACCAAAAAGCUUGCUUGUUGGGGUUGUAGGACACUCUAUACGGAGUUACAAAGGACGACAUUAGACGAAUCAUCUGGAAAGAUGAAUCAAAGAAGGUAAUAAUCCUGUAGUCGAAAAUGUUGUCUCUCUUGAGUGGAUCCUGAGUACGACGGAGCACGUGAAAUUCCGUCGGAAUCUGGGAGGACCAUCUCCUAAGGCUAAAUACUCUCUAGUGACCGAUAGUGAACCAGUACCGUGAGGGAAAGGUGAAAAGCACCCCGGAAGGGGAGUGAAAUAGAACCUGAAACCGUGUGCUUACAAGUAGUCAGAGCCCGUUAAUGGGUGAUGGCGUGCCUUUUGUAGAAUGAACCGGCGAGUUACGAUUUGAUGCAAGGUUAAGCAGUAAAUGUGGAGCCGUAGCGAAAGCGAGUCUGAAUAGGGCGUUUAGUAUUUGGUCGUAGACCCGAAACCAGGUGAUCUACCCUUGGUCAGGUUGAAGUUCAGGUAACACUGAAUGGAGGACCGAACCGACUUACGUUGAAAAGUGAGCGGAUGAACUGAGGGUAGCGGAGAAAUUCCAAUCGAACCUGGAGAUAGCUGGUUCUCUCCGAAAUAGCUUUAGGGCUAGCCUCAAGUGAUGAUUAUUGGAGGUAGAGCACUGUUUGGACGAGGGGCCCCUCUCGGGUUACCGAAUUCAGACAAACUCCGAAUGCCAAUUAAUUUAACUUGGGAGUCAGAACAUGGGUGAUAAGGUCCGUGUUCGAAAGGGAAACAGCCCAGACCACCAGCUAAGGUCCCAAAAUAUAUGUUAAGUGGAAAAGGAUGUGGCGUUGCCCAGACAACUAGGAUGUUGGCUUAGAAGCAGCCAUCAUUUAAAGAGUGCGUAAUAGCUCACUAGUCGAGUGACACUGCGCCGAAAAUGUACCGGGGCUAAACAUAUUACCGAAGCUGUGGAUUGUCCUUUGGACAAUGGUAGGAGAGCGUUCUAAGGGCGUUGAAGCAUGAUCGUAAGGACAUGUGGAGCGCUUAGAAGUGAGAAUGCCGGUGUGAGUAGCGAAAGACGGGUGAGAAUCCCGUCCACCGAUUGACUAAGGUUUCCAGAGGAAGGCUCGUCCGCUCUGGGUUAGUCGGGUCCUAAGCUGAGGCCGACAGGCGUAGGCGAUGGAUAACAGGUUGAUAUUCCUGUACCACCUAUAAUCGUUUUAAUCGAUGGGGGGACGCAGUAGGAUAGGCGAAGCGUGCGAUUGGAUUGCACGUCUAAGCAGUAAGGCUGAGUAUUAGGCAAAUCCGGUACUCGUUAAGGCUGAGCUGUGAUGGGGAGAAGACAUUGAGUCUUCGAGUCGUUGAUUUCACACUGCCGAGAAAAGCCUCUAGAUAGAAAAUAGGUGCCCGUACCGCAAACCGACACAGGUAGUCAAGAUGAGAAUUCUAAGGUGAGCGAGCGAACUCUCGUUAAGGAACUCGGCAAAAUGACCCCGUAACUUCGGGAGAAGGGGUGCUCUUUAGGGUUAACGCCCAGAAGAGCCGCAGUGAAUAGGCCCAAGCGACUGUUUAUCAAAAACACAGGUCUCUGCUAAACCGUAAGGUGAUGUAUAGGGGCUGACGCCUGCCCGGUGCUGGAAGGUUAAGAGGAGUGGUUAGCUUCUGCGAAGCUACGAAUCGAAGCCCCAGUAAACGGCGGCCGUAACUAUAACGGUCCUAAGGUAGCGAAAUUCCUUGUCGGGUAAGUUCCGACCCGCACGAAAGGCGUAACGAUUUGGGCACUGUCUCAACGAGAGACUCGGUGAAAUCAUAGUACCUGUGAAGAUGCAGGUUACCCGCGACAGGACGGAAAGACCCCGUGGAGCUUUACUGUAGCCUGAUAUUGAAAUUCGGCACAGCUUGUACAGGAUAGGUAGGAGCCUUUGAAACGUGAGCGCUAGCUUACGUGGAGGCGCUGGUGGGAUACUACCCUAGCUGUGUUGGCUUUCUAACCCGCACCACUUAUCGUGGUGGGAGACAGUGUCAGGCGGGCAGUUUGACUGGGGCGGUCGCCUCCUAAAAGGUAACGGAGGCGCUCAAAGGUUCCCUCAGAAUGGUUGGAAAUCAUUCAUAGAGUGUAAAGGCAUAAGGGAGCUUGACUGCGAGACCUACAAGUCGAGCAGGGUCGAAAGACGGACUUAGUGAUCCGGUGGUUCCGCAUGGAAGGGCCAUCGCUCAACGGAUAAAAGCUACCCCGGGGAUAACAGGCUUAUCUCCCCCAAGAGUUCACAUCGACGGGGAGGUUUGGCACCUCGAUGUCGGCUCAUCGCAUCCUGGGGCUGUAGUCGGUCCCAAGGGUUGGGCUGUUCGCCCAUUAAAGCGGUACGCGAGCUGGGUUCAGAACGUCGUGAGACAGUUCGGUCCCUAUCCGUCGUGGGCGUAGGAAAUUUGAGAGGAGCUGUCCUUAGUACGAGAGGACCGGGAUGGACAUACCUCUGGUGUACCAGUUGUCGUGCCAACGGCAUAGCUGGGUAGCUAUGUGUGGACGGGAUAAGUGCUGAAAGCAUCUAAGCAUGAAGCCCCCCUCAAGAUGAGAUUUCCCAACUUCGGUUAUAAGAUCCCUCAAAGAUGAUGAGGUUAAUAGGUUCGAGGUGGAAGCAUGGUGACAUGUGGAGCUGACGAAUACUAAUCGAUCGAAGACUUAAUCAA
Molecule: ribosomal RNA, 2923 nt
Filed under: Staphylococcus aureus
Lineage: Bacteria; Bacillati; Bacillota; Bacilli; Caryophanales; Staphylococcaceae
Description: 23S ribosomal RNA
Rfam family: Bacterial large subunit ribosomal RNA
Source: RNAcentral